Molecule: ribosomal RNA, 376 nt
Filed under: Cryptosporidium meleagridis
Lineage: Eukaryota; Apicomplexa; Conoidasida; Eucoccidiorida; Cryptosporidiidae
Description: SSU rRNA
Rfam family: Eukaryotic small subunit ribosomal RNA
Source: RNAcentral
GAUUAAUAUUUAUAUAAUAUUAACAUAAUUCAUAUUACUAAAUUUAUUAGUAUAUGAAAUUUUACUUUGAGAAAAUUAGAGUGCUUAAAGCAGGCAUAUGCCUUGAAUACUCCAGCAUGGAAUAAUAUUAAAGAUUUUUAUCUUUCUUAUUGGUUCUAAGAUAAAAAUAAUGAUUAAUAGGGACAGUUGGGGGCAUUUGUAUUUAACAGUCAGAGGUGAAAUUCUUAGAUUUGUUAAAGACAAACUAAUGCGAAAGCAUUUGCCAAGGAUGUUUUCAUUAAUCAAGAACGAAAGUUAGGGGAUCGAAGACGAUCAGAUACCGUCGUAGUCUUAACCAUAAACUAUGCCAACUAGAGAUUGGAGGUUGUUCCUUACU